UACGGAGGAUGCAAGUGUUAUCCGGAAUCACUGGGCGUAAAGCGUCCGCAGGUGGCAGUUCAAGUCUGCUGUCAAAGACCGGGGCUUAACUUCGGAAAGGCAGUGGAAACUGAACAGCUAGAGUAUGGUAGGGGCAGAGGGAAUUCCUGGUGUAGCGGUGAAAUGCGUAGAUAUCAGGAAGAACAUCGGUGGCGAAGGCGCUCUGCUGGACCAUAACUGACACUCAGGGACGAAAGCUAGGGGAGCGAAUGGG
RNAcentral lists this ribosomal RNA (253 nucleotides) under uncultured bacterium. Its description in RNAcentral is "partial 16S ribosomal RNA". It matches the Rfam family "Bacterial small subunit ribosomal RNA", at positions 524 to 776 of the family's 1533-position model. The record is from RNAcentral.